GGCAAGGUGGCCGAGUGGUCUAAGGCGCAUGACUCAAGCGCUAAGAAGUGCUUAACCUUGAUAGAGGUUCCUUCCUUCAAAGAAAUAUCUUGAAGAUUUCAUGUGGAGCAAUCCGCGCGAGUUCGAAUCUCGCCCUUGUCA
RNAcentral lists this transfer RNA (141 nucleotides) under Aspergillus sydowii CBS 593.65. It matches the Rfam family "tRNA". Rfam says of the family: Transfer RNA (tRNA) molecules are approximately 80 nucleotides in length. Their secondary structure includes four short double-helical elements and three loops (D, anti-codon, and T loops). The record is from Rfam by way of RNAcentral. Lineage: Eukaryota; Fungi; Ascomycota; Eurotiomycetes; Eurotiales; Aspergillaceae.